Molecule: ribozyme, 78 nt
Filed under: unclassified sequences
Description: HDV ribozyme from F. prausnitzii
Rfam family: HDV ribozyme from F. prausnitzii
Source: RNAcentral
GCCAUCCGAAAAUGCUGCCUCUACGUGGCGGGUGGCAGGCAACGGAGCGUGGUGCAACUUCCUCCGGCUAAAGCAUAA